Anguilla anguilla (European eel) is the source of this 833-nucleotide long non-coding RNA. RefSeq lists it as uncharacterized. The transcript has 3 exons. NCBI's taxonomy places the organism in Eukaryota, Metazoa, Chordata, Actinopteri, Anguilliformes, Anguillidae. The record is from RefSeq and is a predicted model, not a curated record.
CCACUUCCACUCACGCCCCUGCCACCUGCUCCACAGAGAGAGAGCAUGACAGAAGGAGAGAAAGAGAAAGAGGAGGUCAGAGGAGUUUGACACGACACUUGUCAGACGCUACAUUUCUAUCGGGUCUGGACCACUAGACGACUCUGACACUUUCUGAAAAGCAAGACCCACAUAGCACCACCGUUGCCUCGGGGAUUACAGCAUGACAGAUUUUCAAGAUUUCGAUGGAAAGGAUUUGAGACAGUGCCAAAAGGAACCUUUUUUCUUGGCCCAGGUAAAAGGGGUUAUCUGUAAACUUUGGCUACAUUUCUACACCAGUGAAAAUCCUACUAUCCUUUAGCCAGUGACCUUCUGCAAGCUGUUUCACGCAUCAGUUACCAUGGUAUUGCAAUGCAACCUUGGGAAUGCCAGGAGCUGCCCACUUCAAACAGAGCUGGGAAAGGUUAUCUGUGGCGGCUGGUGGGAACGCUCAAAAUGUCCGGAAAGGGACUGAACUGCACACUGAUGCCUCUCAAAUAAAGCCAGACAUAAGGGAUCUCAUACAAGUACAAAUAAUCCAACUGAGAACUAUGUAAACACAUUUGGUCUCCCUGCCAUGUUCUGCUUCGAAACUAUCGGUGACGGUGACCAAAAUAGAUUUUCUAUUUUCUGUAUGUAAAUCAUCAAGUUCUCACAGUUGAAAACAGACUUUCAAUGACACUUCUGCAAAACUACUUUAUUAACUAAUAGAAAAUAGAAAAUCAACUGAUGUAACUGAGAUAAGAAAAUUUACAGAACCCAAAAUUGAUCCAUGAGGCACACGCAAAAGAAAUAAAAAUCCAUCUGAAAUGAAA